Molecule: ribosomal RNA, 492 nt
Filed under: uncultured bacterium
Lineage: Bacteria
Description: partial 16S ribosomal RNA
Rfam family: Bacterial small subunit ribosomal RNA
Source: RNAcentral
AGUGAACGCUGGCGGUAGGCCUAACACAUGCGAGUCGAACGGCAGCACAGUAAGAGCUUGCUCUUACGGGUGGCGAGUGGCGGACGGGUGAGGAAUACAUCGGAAUCUACUUUUUCGUGGGGGAUAACGUAGGGAAACUUACGCUAAUACCGCAUACGACCUACGGGUGAAAGCAGGGGAUCUUCGGACCUUGCGCGAUUGAAUGAGCCGAUGUCGGAUUAGCUAGUUGGCGGGGUAAAGGCCCACCAAGGCGACGAUCCGUAGCUGGUCUGAGAGGAUGAUCAGCCACACUGGAACUGAGACACGGUCCAGACUCCUACGGGAGGCAGCAGUGGGGAAUAUUGGACAAUGGGCGCAAGCCUGAUCCAGCCAUACCGCGUGGGUGAAGAAGGCCUUCGGGUUGUAAAGCCCUUUUGUUGGGAAAGAAAAGCAGCAGGUUAAUACCCCGCUGUUCUGACGGUACCCAAAGAAUAAGCACCGGCUAACUUCGUA